This is a non-coding RNA of Ricinus communis (castor bean), 107 nucleotides long. The record is from Rfam. NCBI's taxonomy places the organism in Eukaryota, Viridiplantae, Streptophyta, Magnoliopsida, Malpighiales, Euphorbiaceae.
AGAUUAUGAUGUAGGCAUUGAAUAAGAUAAACUUUAAAUCUUCCCCACGCAUUAUAAAAAGAUUCUCCCACCUUUUGAGUGAAGUUGCAAAUUCUGGCUCUAUAAUC